Molecule: non-coding RNA, 21 nt
Filed under: Caenorhabditis elegans
Lineage: Eukaryota; Metazoa; Nematoda; Chromadorea; Rhabditida; Rhabditidae
Source: RNAcentral
UCAUCCAAUUCGUUAGAAAAU